GAUGAACGCUGGCGGCGUGCCUAAUACAUGCAAGUCGAGCGAACGGACGAGAAGCUUGCUUCUCUGAUGUUAGCGGCGGACGGGUGAGUAACACGUGGAUAACCUACCUAUAAGACUGGGAUAACUUCGGGAAACCGGAGCUAAUACCGGAUAAUAUUUUGAACCGCAUGGUUCAAAAGUGAAAGACGGUCUUGCUGUCACUUAUAGAUGGAUCCGCGCUGCAUUAGCUAGUUGGUAAGGUAACGGCUUACCAAGGCAACGAUGCAUAGCCGACCUGAGAGGGGGAUCGGCCACACCGGAACUGAGACACGGUCCAGACUCCUACGGGAGGCAGCAGUAGGGAAUCUUCCGCAAUGGGCGAAAGCCUGACGGAGCAACGCCGCGUGAGUGAUGAAGGUCUUCGGAUCGUAAAACUCUGUUAUUAGGGAAGAACAUAUGUGUAAGUAACUGUGCACAUCUUGACGGUACCUAAUCAGAAAGCCACGGCUAACUACGUG
This 497-nucleotide ribosomal RNA is filed under the name uncultured bacterium. RNAcentral describes it as "partial 16S ribosomal RNA". It matches the Rfam family "Bacterial small subunit ribosomal RNA", at positions 28 to 507 of the family's 1533-position model. The record is from RNAcentral.